UUCUGUCGGGUACGUCAAAGUCAGGUGAGUCUCUUAUUCUUCUUGUUUUCUAACCAUGGUCGGCGGCAAUGGAAGGAUGGUGACGCUUAAGGUGCAACAGUAGUCAGAAUGCCCUUCAUCAGGUGCUGCUGCUCCUUGUACUACUUCACUGUGUCCUCAUUGUCCAGCUUCAACUCUGUGUAUCCUAUUUUGGCAUCUCUGUUUUUAUUGAGAGAGAGAGAGAGAGAGAGCAAAAGGGUACGUUUCUGCUAUUGGCUUGGCGCUCUCAUUAUAUACUAAAGUAUUAGUUUUGUUUACUUGAGUGAAUAAAUUUCCUUGCAAAAUAUAGAAUUAAAUAUCUGUGAUCAUAUAGAAUGUGAAUCCUGUCAUAUUAACUGGUAAUCAAGUAAAAUAUGGGUGGCUUUUUUGGGUUUCUUUCUAUAUUUUGUUUAUUUUUGUAUUUAUGGUUUGGAAUGGAACAUCCUAGCAGAGAAUCUGACUGCAUGUGGUUCCUAUCGUUAUCAGUAUAAUGACUUCUGCAUGUAAUGACUGUUUUGCAGGGCACCCAUCAAUUCAAUUGAGAACUUGGGGGCGAAAGACACCAACCCCGUUAAUCCCAUUGGAUAUUUUCCCUUGAAUGCAGAAACGGACAACUUUGAUGACUUUGGAGUUGACUUGUGUCCCAUUCCUGAGGCAGCCUUAUCUGACUCUGAUCUUGAAUUUGAUAAGAACUACUGUAUUAGCAAUGAGAAG
Non-coding RNA from Camellia sinensis, 732 nucleotides. The record is from RefSeq and is a predicted model, not a curated record. NCBI's taxonomy places the organism in Eukaryota, Viridiplantae, Streptophyta, Magnoliopsida, Ericales, Theaceae.